GACGAACGCUGGCGGCGUGCUUAACACAUGCAAGUCGAACGGAAAGGCCCUGCUUUUGUGGGGUGCUCGAGUGGCGAACGGGUGAGUAACACGUGAGUAACCUGCCCUUGACUUUGGGAUAACUUCAGGAAACUGGGGCUAAUACCGGAUAGGAGCUCCUGCUGCAUGGUGGGGGUUGGAAAGUUUCGGCGGUUGGGGAUGGACUCGCGGCUUAUCAGCUUGUUGGUGGGGUAGUGGCUUACCAAGGCUUUGACGGGUAGCCGGCCUGAGAGGGUGACCGGCCACAUUGGGACGGAGAUACGGCCCAGACUCCUACGGGAGGCAGCAGUGGAGAAUAUUGCACAAUGGGCGGAAGCCUGAUGCAGCAACGCCGCGUGCGGGAUGACGGCAUUCGGGUUGUAAACCGCUUUCGCCUGUGACGAAGCGUGAGUGACGGUAAUGGGUAAAGAAGCACCGGCUAACUACGUG
RNAcentral lists this ribosomal RNA (468 nucleotides) under uncultured bacterium. RNAcentral describes it as "partial 16S ribosomal RNA". It matches the Rfam family "Bacterial small subunit ribosomal RNA", at positions 28 to 507 of the family's 1533-position model. The record is from RNAcentral.